Molecule: non-coding RNA, 109 nt
Filed under: Clostridium sp.
Lineage: Bacteria; Bacillati; Bacillota; Clostridia; Eubacteriales; Clostridiaceae
Description: SAM-I sequence
Rfam family: SAM riboswitch aptamer (S box leader)
About the family: The SAM riboswitch is found upstream of a number of genes which code for proteins involved in methionine or cysteine biosynthesis in Gram-positive bacteria. The SAM riboswitch acts at the level of transcription termination control. The predicted structure consists of a complex stem-loop region followed by a single stem loop terminator region.
Source: RNAcentral
AUCUUAUCGAGAGAGGUGGAGGGACUGGCCCUAUGAAACCCAACAACCAGCAUUUUUCAUUUGAAUGUAUGGUGUUAAUUCCUGCAAAUUAAAUUUUGAGAGAUAAGAG